GAUGAACGCUGGCGGCGUGCUUAACACAUGCAAGUCGAACGAUGAAGCCCGGCUUUCCGUCUGGGGUAGUGGCGAACGGGUGAGUAACACGCGAGUAACCUGCCCUUAACUCUGGGUGAAACCUGGGAAACAGGGUCGAAUACAGGACAGGAGAGCCUUCCGCAUGUUGGGUGUUGUAAAGAUUUAUCGUUUUUCGAUGGCCUCGUGGCCCAUCGGCGUUUUGGUGAGGUAAUGGCGAACCACGGCGCCGACGGGUAGCCGCCCUGAGAGGGUGACCGGGCACACUGGGCCUCAGAGAGGGGCCAGAAUCCAACGGGAGGCAUCGGUGGGAAAUAUUGCGGACAAGGCGAGAGCCUGAUACAGCGACGUCGGGUGAGGAAUGACUGGUUUCGGGGUGUAAACAUCUUUCAGUAGGGAAGAAGACAAAGUGACGGUACCUGAAGAAGAAGCGACGGCUAACUACGUG
RNAcentral lists this ribosomal RNA (466 nucleotides) under uncultured bacterium. RNAcentral's name for it is "partial 16S ribosomal RNA". It matches the Rfam family "Bacterial small subunit ribosomal RNA", at positions 28 to 507 of the family's 1533-position model. The record is from RNAcentral.